CGCUAGCUACAGGCUUAACACAUGCAAGUCGAGGGGCAGCAUGGUCUUAGCUUGCUAAGGCCGAUGGCGACCGGCGCACGGGUGAGUAACACGUAUCCAACCUGCCGUCUACUCUUGGACAGCCUUCUGAAAGGAAGAUUAAUACAAGAUGGCAUCAUGAGUCCGCAUGUUCACAUGAUUAAAGGUAUUCCGGUAGACGAUGGGGAUGCGUUCCAUUAGAUAGUAGGCGGGGUAACGGCCCACCUAGUCUUCGAUGGAUAGGGGUUCUGAGAGGAAGGUCCCCCACAUUGGAACUGAGACACGGUCCAAACUCCUACGGGAGGCAGCAGUGAGGAAUAUUGGUCAAUGGGCGAGAGCCUGAACCAGCCAAGUAGCGUGAAGGAUGACUGCCCUAUGGGUUGUAAACUUCUUUUAUAAAGGAAUAAAGUCGGGUAUGUAUACCCGUUUGCAUGUACUUUAUGAAUAAGGAUCGGCUAACUCCGUGCCAGCAGCCGCGGUAAUACGGAGGAUCCGAGCGUUAUCCGGAUUUAUUGGGUUUAAAGGGAGCGUAGAUGGAUGUUUAAGUCAGUUGUGAAAGUUUGCGGCUCAACCGUAAAAUUGCAGUUGAUACUGGAUAUCUUGAGUGCAGUUGAGGCAGGCGGAAUUCGUGGUGUAGCGGUGAAAUGCUUAGAUAUCAUGAAGAACUCCGAUUGCGAAGGCAGCCUGCUAAG
This 710-nucleotide ribosomal RNA is filed under the name uncultured Bacteroidales bacterium. Its description in RNAcentral is "bacterial SSU rRNA". It matches the Rfam family "Bacterial small subunit ribosomal RNA", at positions 34 to 733 of the family's 1533-position model. Lineage: Bacteria; Pseudomonadati; Bacteroidota; Bacteroidia; Bacteroidales. The record is from RNAcentral.